GUAGAGGAGGCCCGUGUUCAGCACUAGGCAGUAUAUACUUAGCUGGUAUUAUUGUUAUAUCGCAGCGUAAUAAGCUGGCAUGCUUAUUACGGGGGUAGUCACCCUAGUAACGUUACUACGCCGCUUGUCGGCAGCGUAGCGACUGCCGCCCACGCCUCGUCCCGCACGUACGCCGCGUCUCGGUGCUUACAAUCACAGACGCAAACAAACUUUACUCUGUACUUGUCCGUUCGAUGUGAUGUUACUGAGCCGUGUGUAUUGUCGUCGUGUCUACACCGCGCUGUAUGGUGAACUUCAGUCAGCUCGCCAAAUUGACGCUACUUACAUUUCGAGCAGCCCGCGCCGCCGGGGCUCUCGGCGCCGGAGCCGCAGUACUUCCCGUUCCCCAAGUACAGCGAGCCGUACGCGUUCAAGCGCGAGGACGUGCCGUACGACAUGAGCCAGCAGCAUGCGCACGCGCACGCGCACCAGCAACACCACCAACAGCACCAAUACGCGCUGCCGCACCAGCAGAAGCGAGACGAAGACAUCUACAAUGGCAUCAAGCGCGAGUGCGAAGACCCGUACUCGUUCGCGGAGGAGGAGGCGGCGAUGUGCGCGAUGCUGCAGCAGCCCGCGCCGCACGCGCUGCUGCACGAGCACCACCUCAUGCACCCGCAGCAGAUGCUGCUCAACCAGCCCAAGAAGCGCGGCCGCAAGAAGAAGAUCAAGGACGAGAACGGUAUGGAGAUAAAGACGGAGGGCAUGGAGGGCGCGCUGGUGCCGCGGCCGGUGAAGGAGCGCAAGAAGCACGACCGGUUCAACGGCAUGAGCGAGGAGGAGGUGUCGCGCCGCACGCUGCCCGACCACCUCGCCGAGAACCUCGACAUCAUCAUUAUCGGCAUAAACCCGGGUCUGUUCGCGGCGUACAAGGGGCACCACUACGCGGGCCCCGGCAACCACUUCUGGAAGUGUCUCUACCUGUCCGGACUCACCAGGGAGCAGAUGAGCGCCGAUGAAGACUACAAGCUGUUGAACUUCGGCAUCGGUUUCACGAACAUGGUGCCGCGGCCGACCAAGGGCUCGGCGGACCUGACGCGGCGCGAGAUCAAGGAGGGCUCCGCGGUGCUGCUGGAGAAGCUGCAGACCUUCCGGCCCAAGGUGGCCGUCUUCAACGGGAAGCUCAUCUACGAGGUGUUCUCCGGCAAGAAGGACUUCUGCUUCGGGAAACAACCGGACACCGUCGCCGGCACCAACACUUACAUGUGGGUGAUGCCGUCGUCGUCGGCGCGCUGCGCGCAGCUGCCGCGCGCGGCGGACAAGGUGCCGUUCUACGCCGCGCUGAAGAAGUUCCGCGACUACCUCAACGGACUCGUCGCGCACGUCGACGAGGCCGAGCUCGUGUUCCCCGACAACACCAGCCGCCGCCCGCAGGAGGAGAUGGAGAUCCGCAGGCUCACAAUGGAGCCGGAACCAGGCGACACGAUCAUCCUGGAGGACGGCACUGAGGUGCCGCUUAAGAAGAAGCGAGGCCGACCCAAGAAGGUGAAGCUGGAGAACGGCGAGACCGCGCCGCCCACCCCCCGCGCCCCGCGCCAGCCGCGACCCCCGCCCACGCUCGACCCCAACGGAGACCAGCCACCCAAGAAGAAGCGUGGUAGACCCAAGAAAAUACGCCCCGAAGAACAACAGUUCCUCAUGCAACAACAACAACAGCAACAGCAACAACAGUCGAACCCCAUGCUGCAGUCGUCGCUGUCGUCGCUGUCGUCGCUGCCGCACGAGCAGGGCUACCUGGCGCCGCACGCGGGCGAGUUCCCGCAGCAGCUCGGCUCGCUGCCGUCGCUGCCGUCGCCGCUGGCGCAGGGCUCGCUGCUGUACUCGCACGCGCACCCCGCGCACCCGGCGCACGCGCACCAGGCCAUGCCCGACGGCGCCGGCUACUUCCAGCCGCAGCCGCAGGCCCAGCCCGCCGGCGGAGACGGCACACCAUGCGACAUGUCCGGCAUGGACUCGCCACUGGACGUGUCGCCCGCCGGCCGCGCCUUCAGCGCGCGCUCGCCCAUGUACGCGCACAGCCCCGCGCACCAACCCUACCACCAUCCGCACCAGCAAUCGAGUCCUGCUCAGCAACCUCGAUUCUCGCAGUCGCCUCAUCCGCACCAUCCACUACCCUACGCACGCUCGCCCGCACCACAGACGCAGUCACGGCCGUACUCGCGGUCUCCGGUGCCGUCGGGCGCGGGGGUGGUGGGCGUGGGAGUGGGGGUGGGAGGCAACACCACGCCGUUCCCGGCCGCGUCGCCCGCAGGCGGCGGCUACACGCCCUCGCCCGCGCACACUCCCUACAGCCACCGCUCCUCGCCUGCGCCCUCCUCACGCACUCCCACAUACACAGACGCGCAUCACUUCCCACAUCAGAGCGGCAGCGGCGGCAGCGCGUUCGGCGGCGAGCUGGGCAGCGAGAUCGGCGCGGCCAUCUCGUCGCCGGGCCCGGUGUCGCCCGGCAUGGCGGCGCUGGACUUCGAGCCGCCGCGCGACCCCGAGCGCGCCGCCAGCCCCGCCAGCGCCGACCUGCACCCCGCCUCCAACUCCGACUCCUCGCUCUCCGACUACAACAAGACGUCGGUGGGCGGCGAGAUGUCGCCGGCGGGCGUGGGCGCGGGCUCGUUCGGCGCGCUGUACGAGGGCGAGCCGCGCCUGCAGUACCCGCACGCGCCGCACGCGCUGCACGCGCAUGCGCACUCGCCCGCCGCGCAGGACAAGGACCACUACCACUACCGGCAGGACCAGGGGAGCGGUGUAUCCGAGAGCCCAAGAUUAGACCAGAUGCACCAGCAUCAAUCCAUGUAUCCCAACAACUUCAACCGGUCGACGCCGCCGGGUCCAGUGGCGGAGGGUCCGUUCUCACCGCUGCCUGCCGCGUUCCGCCCGCCCGAACACCCGCACACGCCACACACGCCGCAUACACCACACACACCGCACACGCCGCUACAUCACCAGCCCGGUUCUCCGGGUGACUACAGCGGCACAGUGAAACCGAAGUCGCAAGACGUCGCGUCCAAGUCCCUGUCGGGUCUGGAAUCGCUCGUGGACCAGAUCCCGUCGAUAGCGGAGGGUCCGGGCGGCGCGGCGGGCGUGGCGGGCGGAGUGGGCGGCGUGGGGGGAGUGGCGGGGGUCGGCGGCGUGGGGGGCGUGGGCGGCGUGAGUGCGGGCGCGACCGAGCAGCCCGCGCCGGCGCCCGUGCCCGCGCUGCCCGAGUACGCGCCCGCGCUCUACGGGCCCUACGGCGCGUACGGCGGCGCCGCCUACGGGAACAACGGGUACGGCGGUCCGUUCGUGGGGUACGGCGGCGGCUGGGGCGCGACGGUGAUGCGGCCGGCGCCGGGCUACCUGCCCGAGUGGCAGUACGGGUACGGCGCGGGGGUGCCGCCCGCCUACGCGCCCUACAACGCGCCCUACUACAACGGGUACGCGCCGCCGCCUGCCCAUCACCAGCAGGUACCCUAGCCAGAACCAUCGCGUCAGUAAGGCGCACUACCUGUCGGCGCCGCCGCUGAUCGACCUGCACAAGAACGGCGAGCACGCGGGCGGCGUGCCGGCCGUGCCCUCCGUGCCCUCCGUGCCGUCCGUCGGCUUCGGCGGCUUCUGUUAGUGCACUCACGCGACCACACUGUACAUACCACACGCGGACUUUUUAUCUGUCGUUUUAACGAGUGUGAAGGGUGUGUUUGUGCGCGUGAGCGGCGGCGGUGAGCGGCGGCGGCGAGCGGGCGCGGGUACCGACGUAUUCGGAGAGUCUGUGAUCCUCGUCAUGUCUAACUAACUAAUGGCCAUUGUUAUUGCCAUACGGAAAAAAUGUGUUCGGAAACGUUCGAUAUGGAGUGGCGCACGCGCAGUGCUGUCGGUCGCGGUUGUGUCCGGAGUGACAGCGGUGGCGGUACAUAGAGGCCAUAUUAUGAGACGAUACGAAAUGGGAUUUUCUACUGUCUGUAUGUUGUAACAAUCUAUGUUUCUACGUUUGUAAUAUGAGGCUUAUUAUGUGGCGAAACCGCUACAAAACCCAAGCUGUACAAGCUAACACGAUUGUGAUCUCAUUGGUAUAUAAGAAUGUGACAUUAAUGAUCUUUGUUUAAGUUAAUUAUGAAUUAAAAUAUCUUUUCGCUGUGAUAUUGAGAACUUGGUAUUGGUUUAGUACAGGCGGUAAUUGUUAAACUAACGCGUGGGUCGUGUUAGCUUGCCGGCUGAGAUGGACUUGUUUAGUCGAUGCUGCUUUCCAGUACACAGUUUUUGUGAAUAUGUCCAUAAAUGUGUAAAUUUUACAUAUGACACAGUUAUCGUGGUAUUUGCAGCUCGCUGUGUACUCGCGAGCAGUCUCGAUGUUCGCGCGAGGGACCGACGCUCGUGGGCGGUGCACACUCGUGGCAGAAUCCUUAACAUUUAUUCGUUAUUCAUUUGGGAUUCAGCCAGAAAUUGUUAUACGAAGUCUUGCCAAUGAUGUGUUUCGCUCUAGUCACUUAUUAAUUCGUGUCGGCUAGUCAAAAUGAUAACGUACCCUGCGCCGCACCUCGCCCCCGACACUUGUCGCGCCGAUAUUAUAUAUUAUAUAGAAAAAAAUAUUAUUUUUUGUAUCUAAGUCACAAGAACGGCCUACGAAAGGAAUAACGUAUACUUUUUAUUUUUUAGAAUUUAGUUUGUAAUGUUUUGUGACACUAUUUAUAAUUAGCAUUUUGUAUUCUACUGUCGCAACGAGGCGGCCAUUUUGUCGGCGCGGUCAAUGACUGUCUGUGGUGCGCGGAUAUAAACUUGUGGAUCAUUUUUUAAUGAAUAUUUUAUGAGGUAUUGUAUUUUCCAUGUUACCAACAAUGGUUACUUUUUUUUAUAAAAAAAUAUAUUUUUAAAUCUUUUUAAAAUCCUAUUGUGUUGUUACCAACCGAAAAGAAAUGUGUAAAGGUUUUUUGGCCUUACCUGUAUAAUGAAUUGUAUAAUUAUCCCGUCGAGCACCGCAGAAGGAAGUCAGUGGGCGCGCCAUUGCCAUGGACACCGUGCAUUUUACUAAACGUUACCCGAUCAGUUACAUUAGCUUGGAGUCGCUAGUGAAAUAGCAUAAUUUUACAAUAAUUAUUGAUAACCUAUAUUUUUAUUAUACGCGCCAUUUUAUUAUAAGGCCAUUGACGUGAGAAUAAAUAAUAAUUUAAAACUUGUCGGAAUGCGUCCAGUCUUACAGAAUAUUGUGUUAAAUUGUAAACUGAAAUAGCACAGAUUGCAUUUACUUAUUUUUAUUUUAUUUUGACGUUUUGCUUACACAUUUACACUAUUUGCAAAUCCAAAAACAUUACCACUACGUAUGUUUUGAAUAAUUUGAUUUAUUUAUUAAGUAAAUAUAGCUUUAUAAUCAAAAAAGUACUACGCAGUUAUUUAAAGCUUUAAAAUAUUUUGAUUUAGCCUGAAAACUAAUCAAGGACAUCGCGUAAUUGUGUAGUGAGCGUCGCACGAAAGUUAAUAUUUAUUCUCACGGCACUUCUUGUACCGACUGGUAACAACCUCUAGGUUUAGUUGAACGGUUACGAAGCAUAAUGUUUACAUAGGGUGCUGAUUAGUUGAAUUGUUUCCUCGUUUUUUAUACGAAUGUCGCUCUACAAUAAGUAGUGUUUAGAGUCCUGUAUUACGUGUCGAUGUUGAAAUGUGUACGAGGUGCUAGAUAAGAGUCAUUGAUGACCGGUUAUACUGAUGUUUGAAUAUUUACUGAAGGGGCGACUAAUGUAGAGGUCUAAGAUAUGACAGCUAUACAUUAGCUAACAUUAAAGAAAAUAGUCCUAAUUUUGCACAACUAAUUAUUGUGUUGUUCCUGUAAGGAACUAACAUAACGCUGACAUGAUGUACAUUUCAUAUUACAAAACAUUCGAGCCACGUGACUGGCGCCUUGUACCAUUGAUGCGUUGUAUGUCGUACAAUACGGGAGUUUAUGUUUCAUUAUUAAGUCUUUAGUGUGUUGUUGAUGUUUUAUUUUCCACUUUUUGACGAUAUUUUUAGGUAUUGGGUCGUGUACAGAUAGAUAAAGUAAGGGUCGAUUCACACAAGAGCCAACACGUGCAACGAAUGAGCGUGGCAUCCGUGGGAAGCGCGAUUCGAAUUGCAAUCGAUCGCUUUGUGUCCUCGUUCGUGAAGUACAAUUAUUAUUAUAAGAACGCUCCAAGGCUGUUUUCGAGGCAUUUGUAUCUUUAACUCGUAUUAUUGUAUAGGAUAACUACAGGACUUGGAGAGAAGUUCGACAAUAAAGAUCUCUACAAAGUGGACAUUAGGGUUUUAAAUAUAUACAUUUAUUGCACACGUAGCUCGCCACUGUAAAUUCGUUUCAGGUGUUCGCUUUUUGACAAUCGACAAAUAAGUCCUUCCGCAUACUAUAAUAUAAAACUGUCGGUGUGUAGGCGAUCCGCCUAGUGUAUAAAUAGUGGGUCACAUCUGGAAAGUGAAAAUUCUCUUGUACAAAACAUUUUAUUAAAUUUUUUCUUUGCACAAAAGUCUUAAAAUUAAGCUAAAAACGAAAAUAACAUACGUAAUAAAGACAUAUACUUUUAAUGGUAGGUAUACACGAAUGAAUUUAUACGGUAGUGAAAAGGACGCGUCGGUCACCGGAGAGUUGGUAGGGUCGGUCGGAUUGUGCUCAAUGCUUGAGUUGUGUUCUGUCUCGCCUUCAAAUAGUGCAGCGGUCUCUGGUCUGAGUCUGUGCCACAAGCCACGUGUCGGGUGUGGUAUCAUACGCGCAUCUCUCGAUCUCGCUUCCAUCUACUGCCUACUAUUUAUACUGUACAAUGUACAUCUCGCUGCACUAUUUAAACGCAUACUUAAUUAUUUUUUUCGUAAUGCAGAAGGGGAAAAUUUAUAAGUUUAAAAAUGAAAUCAACAGGGUAUUUAAGAUUGCUUAAGAUUUAUUAUUUUAUAUUUAUUAUUAUUUAAUAAUGCGUGCUUGCUUAGCGCUGUUUUGUUUGGAUUAAGGUUAUUCUGUCGCGCGCCUGUCGUGCGUACAUCGCGCGUUGCGUGUGCGUGUCGUCGGCGGCACGUGGCUAUCGCGCGAUUCUGCCCUUGUAUUUACUUUUUGUUUAUGUUUGACAGCUGCACGGAAACACACGACUUGAAUAUAUUGACAUUUAUAAAAUACUUGGAACAUAGGGUCUAAAUUUGAAUCUCAAUUACACUUAAGCAUUUAAUUAUGUCAAUCAUAAUAAAAUUUAUUGUAUUAAUGGUUCGUACAACUUUGAAGUUGGUGAUGACAUUUCAGUAGAACGAAACAAGCGUUUGUGUGAUUCAGACGUGUUUAUGCAAUGCCAAGUGUUACAUAUUUGACGCUAAAAACAUAUUGCUUCAGUAUGGGCUCAAAGGUAUUUGUAAUUGGUGUAUUUUAAUAUCCGUCAUAUUUUAACUAGAGUUGUGUGGGUGUCGUGCAGCGGUCGGUCGCAGUAACGCCUUUGUACAUAAUGAGUGCUUUAUUACGCUUUUUUAUAUUAUUUAACAAAGUACAUAUUCGUAUUUCUAUUUUUGCUUUAUAUGUUCAUUUCACACGCGGUAUGUGUGGACGGGAUUCUCUUUGGUUACGUGUGUAAUAAGAGUAACAGUAGGUCGAUACCUCGCACAGUGAUAAUUUAUUGUUGGAGCGGAAAUGUUUUUCUUCCGAAAAAUUUCGCCAAACUUUGCCUACUGUUAAUCUUUAUUACACUAUGUUGGGUAAGUUGCGUCGUGGCGGUCGUUGAUAUUGAGAAAAUUACUUUUAACAUUUCGGGACGCUCUGUACUAUACGUUGUGUCUUCUCUUAAGCUCGACCAAGUAAUCUUAAUUCUUCUAGCAGUUUGCGUGUUCAUAAAAGACAACAAACAGUGCUACAAUUUUGAAAAAUGGUUACAAUUAAUCCGAUCCGUAAUACUUUAUAUAAUUUUAGUUACAUCUGCAUCAGUCAAUUGCCACGACGCAUCAACCGCGAACGAUUGAAGGCCUAUCAAACACACGCCACUGUUGUAACCGGGUGCUAGAGCUGUCGUCACAUCACGCGGCGGGAGGCGGCCUUAAAUGUGACCCAAUCUACCGACAGAACGGGGCAAGGGAAUUUAAACUUAAUUAUUUUGAAUUCUAAUAACUUUACAAUUCGUAUUUCAUUAGUAUCAUUUGACAUUUCAUUUAAGAUGAUAUCAAUGGAAAAUUUAUUCUAUAUUUAUUGUUUUAAAAUUAAAAGUAAUGCGACUUUUAAAUCCUAUGCCAUACUGUGCUGCCGAUAAAUUUCGGGAUUAUCAACUGCCUAUCCUCUGUGAUAUUUAUGUGACUGUCCGUGUGACAACCAGUGAGACUGCCAGCUCCCGGCGCGUGAGCAGCUUGCUUCUUUGUAACUUGUGGUUUAUGUGUAGACGGUAGACAAAAACAUUCCAUUGUCUGUGCUAUGGUCUUUACAGACCUCCGACUUGUCUUAACAAGUGCAAAAAAAUCCUUUCCCGUUCCUCCACUUCUGAAAAGAGUGCUGUCUCAUAGCAAAAUACAGUUAGGAGUAUGAUAAACUAAUAGAAUAGCACAAAAUUCACAUGUGUUCCACGCUGGGCUAUGACCAUCAAUGCAGUGGAUCUUGCGUUGUGGUCAAUUCCAUUGGUAAGUCAUUUUUCUAGGCCUGUGCGCUCUGGUACGUAAGUGCCCUAUCUCGACAAAGUAAGUAAUUACUUAAGAAGACACCUUAAAUGUUUGUCGAUGAAUUAUAAGCCGUACUUUAAACGAACUGUAUAUUUAAAUGAAGCGCGUCAAAGUAGUGUUUUUGUGUCGCAGUCUACACGUGCGUUAGUUGUAUUUCAAGUUUCCUUAUCGAAUAGGUUUUUUGGCGAAUUCCUUUACGCAACGGAGUGCAAUGUCGGGAGAUUAGUGUUUUGUCUCGUGUCUGAUUGUUGUAUUAUUGUAUUUUUAAUAUUAUUGAGUUGCGAGUUGUGUCACAAUGAACGCUGUAGAUGGUUGGUGAUAUACCACAGAGCCUGUUCAACUAUAAGUGGUGUUCGCCGCUGGGGGGUGCGACGAGACGGACGUGCAUGUCUUGUACAAAUAUUCGACGAAUUAUAGCAUUAGUCAAAGAUAUUUGUACACCCAGAUCAGCUGCGAAUAUCGCGUGUAGAUCGAACGUGAUUUGAUGCUGACGUUUAGUGACAAUAUCGUAUCCUCAGGCAAAGAACGCAAGUCUUAUUAAUACUUUCAUUGUUAGCCUGAAGACAUGAAAUAUUUGUUAAUUUAUUUCGGUAAACAAUUUUGGAGGCAUUUAAUAAAAAUUCACAGACCAUCUGUAACGUUUAUUUUGUGAUCCUCUCGCACCGGACCGUUUGGCAUAAACGAGUGACUUUCGACUUUCCUAUCAGGUGCAUAAAGUUUAGGAUUGUAUGAUAUUAGCAGCGAGUGGAGUCAGGACGUGCUGGACUAACUUUUAGAUUUUAGUGCGCGAGGUUAGGACGUAAAUUCGGUGGUGUUGCCGCGUUGUAUUUGUGCUUCUAUUGUAAAUUCGGUUUGUUGUCUAUACAUACAUGCUAAGAACAUAACGUAUUGUGAAACGUCUGUUGUAUAUCUAUAUUUACAUUUUGUUAUUCAAUAAUAGAAUAAAAAUAAUGGUUUGCUAUUUUUAAACAUUUUACGAAACGUUUUAAUAUGGCGACCGAAUUUACGCUCAAAUACAUACGCGUUCUUAAUAAUAAGUCUCUAUCAACGAGUUAGUGUUAGUGUGUACACGUGUUGUUCGCGGACGAGGCGCGGGCGCGGGCGCGGGCGCGGGGAGCGGACGCGGCUCGGCGGCGCGCGCGCCUCGCCGGCGCCUUUAUCUCCUUACAUGUCGCUGCUCGCGUGCGAGUGGACUUCACACGACUCGUUCGCAAUAUAGUGGCUUGGAACUCUUUCUCCUUCAUGGCAGUCGGUAAAAUCACAUAAAUAAAAACUAUCAUUCAUAAUAUGAAUUACUUAAUUAGGCUUCUUUUAAAUAAAAUACAAACAUUACCUAUAUUCUUAUCAAUUGUAGAGUUGUAAGCCACGUUACUGGGAACAUUUUAAAAACACAUUGUACUUAAGGUUGUAAGCGUGUGCAGUCCACCAGCAAGCGAUCAGCUUUUAGUUAUGGGCGGCUUAGACUGUCAGUUUUGACUGCAUAAGUUAAUUAAGAAUUACAAUAGGUCUAUGCCAGUUAUAUUAAAUCUCCAGUGUAUUAAUUUCAGUAAUAAUGAAUGAAUUAUUAAACCUAUUGAUUAUAACACGGUCUAAAAUAACGAAGCAAACUGAUGUCAGUCAAGGCUGGCGGUGUAGCGCGUCUCUUAGGGUUGACCAGUGUAUGCAUUGAGUCGCUCAACUAUUUGUACAGUAUGUAUAUUUUUGUAAAAUUCACUUUUAACUUGCGGUGGCAAUAUUAUGAAAUUUUAAAAUUUAUCUAUAAUAUUAAAACUUAGUACAAUUGUUACGCAGUUACUUUGACCACUGGGGUUUUGUUUUGUAUAAUCUGUCGUUAUAAACUUGUGAGUACAGAAACUAAGGCUAAACUUAAAUCCUCAUGAAAUGUUAAACCUGUCUACGAUUAAUUGUUUCUAUGAAUAAAUCAAUGUUAAAAUGACUGCCUUUAUUACAAUCUGAAUACAAGUUAGUUUGGUGAUAUUGAUGUUAAUACAUAGUUGCACGACUCACAAGCUCGCACUGAUGUCGAACACAGGAGCAGACCGUAUGCGGACGUCCUUAUCUGCAGUUCCAAACAUUGUUGCCUGCGAGUAUCAUCAAACCUUUUGAACAUUAUCACUAAUUAAUAUAAAGCUUCAUUUGGACUGUAAAAAUAGAAUACAAAUGCUUAUCCAAAAAUGGUUUGGGACUGAGAUGAGGAGCGCCAAUACAAGCUGCUCGUUAGAGUUUUACGAUAACGCGCCUUCGCGCACUGCUUGGUUGUGAAUUAGUGUCGCUUACGGUUCCCUACUCCGUCUGCUGUCCGCUGCGAAGUAUUCGCUUAACCAGUAUUGUCGUGCCAAAAAUGUAUGCGCCUCGAUUCCUGCACCCUCUACGCGUCCAGGUUCGGUCCCGCACCUGACUAUACCGGGUCGGGGUAAGAACCAUAGCUGACGCUUCUGAGUGCGGGAAUAGAGGACCGGAGCUUUGAAGCAAUAACGUAUCAACUUAGUCUCAAAUCGAAAGCAAUAAUGACUGGGCCGCGAAGCUGCAGUUUAUUUUACAAAAUUCACCCUCUAUUCGAAUAUAAGGAAUCAUUUUUCAUUGCCAAAAUUGUACUUUUUCAGAUUCUUGUGAUAGCAUUUAGUGCAAACAUGUGUAUCUUUCCGCCAGGUCUAAUAAUACCUGUGCAGGAAUUUAGAUUAUGUAACCAAUGUCCAUUAUAGAACAUUGCAUCCAUAGUAAUACUGUAAUCCGAUCAUUUUGUUCGUCAUAUGUAUGCCUUUAUUAUGUUCAGAUGUUGUACUAUUGGAACCAAUUUUCAUAUUUAUUUCUAUGUUUUCAUCAACAUAAGAUGCGAAUAAAAAGUAUCGCCAAAAUAUCAAAAUUGUGUCCAUUACAGCAACGAUCAGGCGGAGUUAGAUCCUAGCUCAAUUUUAUUAAACAAUAAUUAUAUUAUUGUACUUGCUUGUUAUUUGUCGUUGGAACUGUAGUCAAUUCCCCUUGGCUGACUACACACAAUGUGUACAUCGAUUCCACACUCCCGCCGUUACGGGCAUCGAACUUUUAAGUUUAGCGUUGUGCAGUAUUCUAAAACAAUUCAAUUUACUAUAUACUUGCCAGUCAAUUGACAUAAAUGAACAUCUCAGCCAGGCAUAUGUUGUCUAGCUAUCUUAAGUGGGUCGGAAGCAUAAAGCGAGUGUGUGGAACCGACGUGGCAUCAAAUGUGUCGGCCCAAGUUUCAUUCCACAGCCUGCAUUACUCAAAUAACUCGCAUUUUCUUAACACGGUGCUUGUUUUUGUAUAUAACGGACGACGCGACGCGGCAUUGCUCUUCUUAUAUUGUCACUUUGAAUGUACUUAAUAAAAUUUAGUCAAGGAAUGAAAUUUUCCGUUGUUGGAGUGUUCAAGUUUUUAUAUAUACUUGUAUUAGUUUUGUGCUAGUUUCGUUGUUAGAUUUGACGACGUUGUGUACUUAAUCGUACGAUGCAGUACUUAGACGUUAUUGUAAUAUUAAAUGCUGUUGUAUGGCGGACACGCCCCAUAGUUUAAACUCGUGGCCGCUGCUCGUGCGGGCCACACGUUAUGUAUGAUACAAGUAUGUUGCAUAUGAUUUGAGAGUCUCAGUAGCGCGUUGAGUUGUCGAUCCCAAUGAAUAGUCAAUUAUUCGGGAGAGCGCCGCGUCCCGUCGCCGUCAGCUCGUUUAAAGUACAAUUUACCUUAUAAUCUCGUAUUAUUAUUAGUUGUAAUUGAUGUUUGUACACUACUGUCACUGUUGAGCGGUGGUGAGCGGUGGUGGGCGGUGGCGAGCCGCACGUCGCCGGAGCGCGGCCGGAGCGCGGCCGGCGCGCGUCCGAGCCGCGCUCCCGUUAUAUUGAUACAUACCUACGCUAGCAGUAAACACUCAUGUUUGUACAGUUUUUAACGAUAACACUACUUCUCGUAGGUGAAUAAGCAAGAAAUAUUUUUUAGUAUAAUAAGAUCUAAUCGAAUUACAUCAUAGUGUAACAUAAUAAAGUACUCGAGGUUAACGAAAUUUCAUUUUCAAACUUUCUACGGUCCUUCGUUUAAUGAUCGUAUCGGAAAUUGACUCAGUGGAGUGUAAUUAGAAAUAAACAGGAAAAUUUUAAAUGAUGAGAUACAACUUAAAUAAUGGAUAAGUAAUGUAUUAUAAAUAGUUUUAAGGUAAAAAGUUAUUAUUAACAUUGUAUGGAAAAUUGUGACAAAAUUAUAGUCAUUUGUAAUAUU
Molecule: microRNA precursor, 12870 nt
Filed under: Manduca sexta (tobacco hornworm)
Lineage: Eukaryota; Metazoa; Arthropoda; Insecta; Lepidoptera; Sphingidae
Source: RNAcentral